This 255-nucleotide ribosomal RNA is filed under the name uncultured bacterium. RNAcentral describes it as "partial 16S ribosomal RNA". It matches the Rfam family "Bacterial small subunit ribosomal RNA", at positions 524 to 776 of the family's 1533-position model. The record is from RNAcentral.
UACGUAGGGACCAAGCGUUGUUCGGAUUUACUGGGCGUAAAAGGGCGCGUAGGCGGCCUUCUAAGUCGGACGUGAAAUCCCUCGGCUUAACCGAGGAACUGCGUCCGAUACUGAAAGGCUUGAAUCCGGGAGAGGGAUGUGGAAUUCCCAGUGUAGAGGUGAAAAUUCGUAGAUAUUGGGAAGAACACCGAUGGCGAAGGCAGCCAUCUGGACCGACACUGACGCUGAGGCGCGAAAGCGUGGGGAGCAAACAGG